CGAGAUUCCCCCAGUAGCGGCGAGCGAACGGGGAGCAGCCCAGAGCCUGAAUCAGUGUGUGUGUUAGUGGAAGCGUCUGGAAAGGCGCGCGAUACAGGGUGACAGCCCCGUACACAAAAAUGCACAUAUUGUGAGCUCGAUGAGUAGGGCGGGACACGUGGUAUCCUGUCUGAAUAUGGGGGGACCAUCCUCCAAGGCUAAAUACUCCUGACUGACCGAUAGUGAACCAGUACCGUGAGGGAAAGGCGAAAAGAACCCCGGCGAGGGGAGUGAAAAAGAACCUGAAACCGUGUACGUACAAGCAGUGGGAGCACGCUUCGGCGUGUGACUGCGUACCUUUUGUAUAAUGGGUCAGCGACUUAUAUUCUGUAGCAAGGUUAACCGAAUAGGGGAGCCGAAGGGAAACCGAGUCUUAACUGGGCGUUAAGUUGCAGGGUAUAGACCCG
This 446-nucleotide ribosomal RNA is filed under the name Escherichia coli. RNAcentral's name for it is "partial 23S ribosomal RNA". It matches the Rfam family "Bacterial large subunit ribosomal RNA", at positions 230 to 717 of the family's 2925-position model. The record is from RNAcentral. Lineage: Bacteria; Pseudomonadati; Pseudomonadota; Gammaproteobacteria; Enterobacterales; Enterobacteriaceae.